Molecule: ribosomal RNA, 567 nt
Filed under: Triticum aestivum (bread wheat)
Lineage: Eukaryota; Viridiplantae; Streptophyta; Magnoliopsida; Poales; Poaceae
Description: partial small subunit ribosomal RNA
Source: RNAcentral
AUGGCCGGAAGAGGGGGCGCCGGAGCGAUGUCGAAGCGGUUGAUGGAGCGGAUGCUGGGGAUGUUCCGGUCGCGGACGCAGGUGGGCGUCGACAGGGCCGGCAACCACUACUUCUCCCGCGUCGAGGAGGUCGACGGCGCCAUGAAAGAGAAGCGGUGGAUUGAGUUCAAGGGCGACCGGGACCCGACCACUGUUCCAGUUGAGUGGAUUUGCUGGUUGAAUGGACAAAGAAAGAAAGCUCCUACGCCAGAGGAAUUAGCUGAACUGGAGGCGAGGCGUGAACGCGUGAAGCAAAAUGUUGAACUUCUUAAAAAGAAAGAAGAAGAGGAAAGAAGAGCUGGUGUCCGACCAGUCAAGACAAUCGGGAAAACAGAUACUCCAAAUCUGAGAAGUUUUACACAGCAGUUCCCUGGUACAUCUGAAGAUAAAAAGAAAGGACUUGAGAAGGUGUCUAAGCCUAGUGGAGCGACUGAUGCAGAAGAUGCCACAACAGAUAAUGACAGGUCUUCCGAACCAACUGGAACUGGUGCCAGCUUUAAACCAGGGACUUGGCUGCCGCCAUCAUGA